AGGGGUGCAGGCCCACUAGUGGGGGUGCUGGAAAGAACGUAGAGUCUAUUCGUCUGGGCUUGCGAAAUUGGUUCGGGCAGAAGGCCCAAUUCUUGCCUUUACCUGGUUCGAUCACCAACAAGAAGAUUCGUUCCUCUUGGAGAAGCUAACGUGCUCGACAGUGUCUCACACACGAACACGACGUCAUCUUCUCCGUAAUCGCCGAGAGCUUCAGCGUGAAUCAUAACACAUCGCGGCGCGAGUCAUCUAGCAUUCUAACGGCUUCACGCGUCCUUCUCCAAGAACAAAAUUGGAAUGAAAGUGACGAAAAAGAAUAGCUCCAAGGUCAAUCUCAGAGAUUCAAUACAACUUCCAACCUUCUUACACCCUUCGUCUUGGUGCGCACGGAAUUGAAAAUAACGAAGUCGAUACGAAGCAGAGAACUCACCGAUCCAAAGUCUUGAUGCAGACAGAUUCUGAUCUUCUUUCCUUCCAACUUCGAUAUUUUUCUCCUUCCUGUUUAUUUCUCCAGUUUGAAUUCGGGGAGUGGAUUCCGGUCUUGUGUCCGGCGGAGCGAGGUUGGCAAUAGACGAUUUUAGGCGGCUCGAAGGAAGAGCGAGGGCGAUUGGAUUUCGUCGUUAGCAGGUCAUUGAAGGAGUUUCUGGUGGAGAUUCGAUUUACCAAAAAAGGAGAUGGUUUAUCAGUUCUGUUUCUCGUAUAAGCUUCCAUUUGUGAAACUCCUUUUUGUUGAAUCCAUUCCUGCAGGUGGUCGUUAGAGAUGAAGAGGAUGAGAUUGGAUUGAAGGUGACGAGAAUAUGGAAUCAGCGCUUGGUUGAAAGAAAAGAAUCGAAUCAGAGUUUGAUUGAAGGUGGUGAACAAGGAGUGAAGAAGAUUGAUGGUAAUCGAGAGGAGAAAAAAAUCCAGAGAGUUCUGAACUUGUGAAGGUUGUUGAAUCCAAAACAUUUUCGGGCAUGUGCAGGUUAUAUGGAUAUUUGAUGUGGAUGCGGCUUUGUGUUCCUGCGUUUUGCUGCCGUCGUGGCUUGUAUCAUGUAUUUCAGUCGUAUAGCAGCUUGUACAAGCUUCUGAAUUUUUUCUGCAUUUCUACUGAUAUGUUUGUACUGAUAUAUUCAAUGGUUCUACUCAAUGUACAUUAGUUAAUGGUGUUGUAA
Long non-coding RNA from Lathyrus oleraceus (garden pea), 1148 nucleotides. RefSeq lists it as uncharacterized. The transcript has 2 exons. NCBI's taxonomy places the organism in Eukaryota, Viridiplantae, Streptophyta, Magnoliopsida, Fabales, Fabaceae. The record is from RefSeq and is a predicted model, not a curated record.